CCACUUUUUCUUUCUUUUUGAUGCAGUCGAGGGGUAGCAGGCAAGCUUGCUCCGCUGACGACCGGCGAACGGGUGCGUAACGCGUAUAGAAUCUACCUCUUACUAAGGGAUAGCCCAGAGAAAUUUGGAUUAAUAUCUUAUAGUAUACAGACCUGGCAUCAGGAUUGUAUUAAAGGUUACGGUAAGAGAUGACUAUGCGUCCUAUUAGCUAGAUGGUGUGGUAACGGCACACCAUGGCUACGAUAGGUAGGGGCCCUGAGAGGGGGAUCCCCCACACUGGUACUGAGACACGGACCAGACUCCUACGGGAGGCAGCAGUGAGGAAUAUUGGACAAUGGAGGCAACUCUGAUCCAGCCAUGCCGCGUGCAGGAAGACUGCCCUAUGGGUUGUAAACUGCUUUUAUACAGGAAGAAACACUCUCACGUGUGAGAGCUUGACGGUACUGUAAGAAUAAGGAUCGGCUAACUCCGUGCCAGCAGCCGCGGUAAUACGGAGGAUCCAAGCGUUAUCCGGAAUCAUUGGGUUUAAAGGGUCCGUAGGUGGAUGAUUAAGUCAGAGGUGAAAUCCUGCAGCUCAACUGUAGAAUUGCCUUUGAUACUGGUUGUCUUGAGUUAUUAUGAAGUAGUUAGAAUAUGUAGUGUAGCGGUGAAAUGCAUAGA
This 660-nucleotide ribosomal RNA is filed under the name Lacinutrix sp. KR05-80. RNAcentral's name for it is "bacterial SSU rRNA". It matches the Rfam family "Bacterial small subunit ribosomal RNA", at positions 37 to 694 of the family's 1533-position model. The record is from RNAcentral. Lineage: Bacteria; Pseudomonadati; Bacteroidota; Flavobacteriia; Flavobacteriales; Flavobacteriaceae.